UAAAUGCAAGUUUAACUGUUG
Molecule: non-coding RNA, 21 nt
Filed under: Caenorhabditis elegans
Lineage: Eukaryota; Metazoa; Nematoda; Chromadorea; Rhabditida; Rhabditidae
Source: RNAcentral